RNAcentral lists this ribosomal RNA (492 nucleotides) under uncultured bacterium. RNAcentral's name for it is "partial 16S ribosomal RNA". It matches the Rfam family "Bacterial small subunit ribosomal RNA", at positions 29 to 507 of the family's 1533-position model. The record is from RNAcentral.
AGUGAACGCUGGCGGUAGGCCUAACACAUGCGAGUCGAACGGCAGCACAGUAAGAGCUUGCUCUUACGGGUGGCGAGUGGCGGACGGGUGAGGAAUACAUCGGAAUCUACUUUUUCGUGGGGGAUAACGUAGGGAAACUUACGCUAAUACCGCAUACGACCUACGGGUGAAAGCAGGGGGUCUUCGGACCUUGCGCGAUUGAAUGAGCCGAUGUCGGAUUAGCUAGUUGGCGGGGUAGAGGCCCACCAAGGCGACGAUCCGUAGCUGGUCUGAGAGGAUGAUCAGCCACACUGGAACUGAGACACGGUCCAGACUCCUACGGGAGGCAGCAGUGGGGAAUAUUGGACAAUGGGCGCAAGCCUGAUCCAGCCAUACCGCGUGGGUGAAGAAGGCCUUCGGGUUGUAAAGCCCUUUUGUUGGGAAAGAAAAGCAGCAGGUUAAUACCCCGCUGUUCUGACGGUACCCAAAGAAUAAGCACCGGCUAACUUCGUG